RNAcentral lists this ribosomal RNA (1374 nucleotides) under Clostridioides difficile. Its description in RNAcentral is "bacterial LSU rRNA". It matches the Rfam family "Bacterial large subunit ribosomal RNA", at positions 870 to 2261 of the family's 2925-position model. The record is from RNAcentral. Lineage: Bacteria; Bacillati; Bacillota; Clostridia; Peptostreptococcales; Peptostreptococcaceae.
UUAGGGCUAGCCUCAAGGUGAGAGAUACGGAGGUAGAGCACUGAAUGUCCUAGGGGGUAUUGCACCUACCGAAGACUAUCAAACUCCGAAUGCCGUCAUCUUAUACUUGGGAGUCAGACUGUGGGUGAUAAGAUUCAUAGUCGAAAGGGCAACAGCCCAGAUCGUCAGCUAAGGUCCCUAAAUGUAAGUUAAGUGGUAAAGGAUGUGGGAUUGCACAGACAACCAGGAUGUUGGCUUAGAAGCAGCCACUCAUUCAAAGAGUGCGUAAUAGCUCACUGGUCGAGUGAUCCUGCGCCGAAGAUUUCCGGGGCUAAAACUUACUACCGAAGCUACGGCAUCAGUAAUGAUGGGUAGGGGAGCUUCCCAUACGGGUUGAAGCAUGACCGUAAGGACAUGUGGACAGUAUGGGAGUGAGAAUGUUGGCAUGAGUAGCGAGAUGUGGGUGAGAAUCCCACAGGCCGUAAACCCAAGGUUUCCAGGGGAAGGUUCGUCCGCCCUGGGUUAGUCGGGACCUAAGCUGAGGCCGAAAGGCGUAGGUGAUGGACAACAGGUUGAUAUUCCUGUACUACCGAUAACCGUUUGAGAGAAGGGAUGACACAGUAGGAUAAGCUAAGCACACUGUUGGUUAUGUGUGCCCAAGCAUUGAGGCAGUCAAAGUAGGCAAAUCCGCUUUGAUAAUGCUGGGAUGUGAUGGGGAGCGAAAUUUAGUAGCGAAGUAGCUGAUUUCACACUGUCAAGAAAAGUCUCUAUCGAGGUUAAAGGUACCCGUACCGCAAACCGACACAGGUGGGUGAGGAGAGUAUCCUAAGGCCAGCGAGAGAACUGUUGUUAAGGAACUCGGCAAAAUGACCCCGUAACUUAGGGAUAAGGGGUGCCACCAUCAGGUGGCCGCAGAGAAUAGGCCCAAGCGACUGUUUACCAAAAACAUAGGUUUCUGCUAAGUCGCAAGACGAUGUAUAGGAGCUGACGCCUGCCCGGUGCUGGAAGGUUAAGGGGAUCUGUUAGAGCAAUCGAAGCAGUGAACUUAAGCCCCAGUAAACGGCGGCCGUAACUAUAACGGUCCUAAGGUAGCGAAAUUCCUUGUCGGGUAAGUUCCGACCCGCACGAAAGGCGUAACGAUUUGGGCACUGUCUCAACAACAGACUCGGUGAAAUUGUAAUUCCGGUGAAGAUGCCGGAUACCUGCGACAGGACGGAAAGACCCCAUGGAGCUUUACUGUAGCUUGACAUUGGGUCUUGGUACUACAUGUACAGGAUAGGUGGGAGGCUUUGAAACCAGGACGCCAGUUUUGGCGGAGCCAUCCUUGGGAUACCACCCUUGUAGUACUGGGACUCUAACCAUAGGCCAUGAAUCUGGUCUUGGGACACUGUCAGG